RNAcentral lists this ribosomal RNA (439 nucleotides) under uncultured bacterium. RNAcentral's name for it is "partial 16S ribosomal RNA". It matches the Rfam family "Bacterial small subunit ribosomal RNA", at positions 339 to 795 of the family's 1533-position model. The record is from RNAcentral.
CUACGGGUUGCACCAGUGAGGAAUAUUGUACAAUGGGGGGAACCCUGAUGCAGCAACGCCGCGUGGAGGAUGACGCAUUUCGGUGUGUAAACUCCUUUUAUAUGUCAAGAAAAUGACGGUAGCAUAUGAAUAAGCACCUGCUAACUCCGUGCCAGCAGCCGCGGUAAUACGGAGGGUGCAAGCGUUAUUCGGAAUCACUGGGCGUAAAGGACGCGUAGGCGGGUUGGAAAGUCAGGUGUGAAAUCCUACAGCUUAACUGUAGAACUGCACUUGAAACUUCUAAUCUAGAGUAUGGGAGGGGGAGAUGGAAUUAGUGGUGUAGGGGUAAAAUCCGUAGAUAUCACUAGGAAUACCUAAAGCGAAGGCGAUCUCCUGGAACAUUACUGACGCUAAGGCGUGAAAGCGUGGGGAGCAAACAGGAUUAGAUACCCCCGUAGUC